Molecule: long non-coding RNA, 506 nt
Filed under: Ursus maritimus (polar bear)
Lineage: Eukaryota; Metazoa; Chordata; Mammalia; Carnivora; Ursidae
Description: lncRNA (ENSUMAG00000014255.1)
Source: RNAcentral
CGGAGGCUCAGGAGCAUCGAGGUCAGGUUGCGGGUGGCCGCCGCUUUUUCCAGACGUCCGGGGAGGAGGUUCCACCUGCAUCCGGAGCAGGCUUUCCUCACCAACCGGGCCGGAGAGCCGAGCGGAGCGCAGGGGACCGAGUUGGAAGAGGGACAGACGCGAGAUACUCUACAAAAUGGUUGGCCUUUGAACAAGAGUUCACCUUCUUCCCAGGCGGCCAGCGUCUUGAAUGAAGCUCAUAUUCUUUUCCAAUCAAAACUCAUCUCUUGGGGCGCCUGGGUGUCUCUGUUGGUUGAGCAUCAGCCUUUGGCUCAGGUCAUGAUCCCAGGGUCCUGGGAUCGAGUCCUGCAUCAGAUUCCCUGCUCAGCAGGGAGCCUGCUUCUCCCUCUCCUGCUCCCCCUGCUUGUGCUCUGUCAGAUGGAUAAAUAAAAUCUUGAAAAAAAAAAAACUACUCAUCUCUUGAGUAUUGACUUUUUGAGCCACAGGCAGCCAAACUUGGGUUUUAG